UACGGAGGUUGCAAGCGUUGUUCGGAAUGACUGGGCGUAAAGGGAGCGCAGGCGGCCAAGUCAGUCUGAAGUGAAAGCCCGGGGCUUAACCCCGGAAUAGCUUUGGAUACUGCCUGGCUUGAGUGUGCGAUAGGAAAGCGGAAUUCCAGGUGUAGCGGUGAAAUGCGUAGAUAUCUGGAGGAACACCGGUGGCGAAAGCGGCUUUCUGGCGCAUAACUGACGCUGAGGCUCGAAAGCGUGGGGAGCGAACGGGAUUAGAUACC
This 263-nucleotide ribosomal RNA is filed under the name uncultured bacterium. RNAcentral's name for it is "partial 16S ribosomal RNA". It matches the Rfam family "Bacterial small subunit ribosomal RNA", at positions 524 to 786 of the family's 1533-position model. The record is from RNAcentral.